AUGACUCAAUUCAACAUGUUCUCUCACUUUGUCACAGCCCACCCCCAGAGGAGCCCCUCCCCCUCCAAUCAUUCUGAUGUUGGGGGUGAGUCCUGGCAGGAUAGCUCACCUUCAUCUCCAAGGAACCAGUCCAUAAGGAGCCCCUCUCCCUCAUCCAGUCAUUUUGGGAACCACAGAGGAGGCUCCCAUUCUGGUGGUCCUCCUAGAGCCUCAAACAGCCAGUCCAUAGGGACCCCCUCUCCCUCAUCCAGUCAUUCCAGGAACCACAGAGGAGGCUCUCGUCCUGGUGGUUCUUCUCGAGCCUCAAACGGUAAGUUGACCUAAAUUAACUGAAGCAAAGAAUGCUGUCUAAACGUUACUGUAUAGCACACAAGCCCAACAUGUUCCCUGUCUCUCACUCUUGUCACAGGCCAGUCCAUAAGGACCCCCUCUCCCUCAUCCAGUCAUUCUGGGAACCACAGAGGAGGCUCCCAUUCUGGUGGUCCUCCUAGAGCCUCAAACAGUAAGUUGGCCUAAAUGAACUGAAGCAAAGAAUGCUGUCUGAACGUUACUGUAUAGCACACAAGCCCAACAUGUUCCCCGUCUCUCACUCUUGUCACAGGCCAGUCCAUAGGGACCCCCUCUCCCUCAUCCAGUCAUUCCAGGAACCACAGAGGAGGCUCUCGUCCUGGUGGUUCUUCUCGAGCCUCAAACGGUAAGUUGACCUAAAUUAACUGAAGCAAAGAAUGCUGUCUAAACGUUACUGUAUAGCACACAAGCCCAACAUGUUCCCUGUCUCUCACUCUUGUCACAGGCCAGUCCAUAAGGACCCCCUCUCCCUCAUCCAGUCAUUCUGGGAACCACAGAGGAGGCUCCCAUUCUGGUGGUCCUCCUAGAGCCUCAAACAGUAAGUUGGCCUAAAUGAACUGAAGCAAAGAAUGCUGUCUGAACGUUACUGUAUAGCACACAAGCCCAACAUGUUCCCCGUCUCUCACUCUUGUCACAGGCCAGUCCAUAAGGACCCCCUCUCCCUCAUCCAGUCAUUCCGGGAACCACAGAGGAGGCUCUCGUCCUGGUGGUUCUUCUCGAGCCUCAAACGGUAAGUUGGCCUAAAUGAACUGAAGCAAAGAAUGCUGUCUGAACGUUACUGUAUAGCACACAAGCCCAACAUGUUCCCUGUCUCUCACUCUUGUCACAGGCCAGUCCAUAAGGACCCCCUCUCUCUCAUCCAGUCAUUCCAGGAACCACAGAGGAGGCUCCCAUUCUGGUGGUUCUUCCCGAAGUUCAAACAGUAAGUUGACCUAAAUGAAUUGAAGGAAAGAAUGCCGUUUGAACCUUAUUGUCUAGCACAGUGGCACAGUGGUUCACAAAGUGCGGUCCAGGGACCACUGGUUGCUUAAGAUGUUGUUCUUUGAAUACAAAGAGGCUCCCGUUCUGGUGGUUCUCCUCGAGCCUCAAACAGUAAGUAAAUGAACUGAAGCAAAAGAUGCUGUCUGAACGUUACUGUCUAGAACACAACCCCAAUAUGUUCCCU
RNAcentral lists this long non-coding RNA (1513 nucleotides) under Gadus morhua (Atlantic cod). RNAcentral's name for it is "lncRNA (ENSGMOG00000026936.1)". The record is from RNAcentral. Lineage: Eukaryota; Metazoa; Chordata; Actinopteri; Gadiformes; Gadidae.